Molecule: ribosomal RNA, 553 nt
Filed under: uncultured bacterium
Lineage: Bacteria
Description: bacterial SSU rRNA
Rfam family: Bacterial small subunit ribosomal RNA
Source: RNAcentral
UGGAGCAUGUGGUUUAAUUCGAAGCAACGCGCAGAACCUUACCAACCCUUGACAUCCUGAUCGCGGUUACCAGAGAUGGUUUCCUUCAGUUCGGCUGGAUCAGUGACAGGUGCUGCAUGGCUGUCGUCAGCUCGUGUCGUGAGAUGUUCGGUUAAGUCCGGCAACGAGCGCAACCCACAUCUUUAGUUGCCAGCAGUUCGGCUGGGCACUCUAAAGAAACUGCCCGUGAUAAGCGGGAGGAAGGUGUGGAUGACGUCAAGUCCUCAUGGCCCUUACGGGUUGGGCUACACACGUGCUACAAUGGCAUCUACAGUGGGUUAAUCCCCAAAAGAUGUCUCAGUUCGGAUUGGGGUCUGCAACUCGACCCCAUGAAGUCGGAAUCGCUAGUAAUCGCGUAACAGCAUGACGCGGUGAAUACGUUCCCGGGCCUUGUACACACCGCCCGUCACACCAUGGGAGUUGGUUCUACCUGACGGCCGUGCGCUAACCUCUUUGAGGAGGCAGCGGACCACGGUAGGAUCAGCGACUGGGGUGAAGUCGUAACAAGGUAACC